RNAcentral lists this ribosomal RNA (292 nucleotides) under uncultured bacterium. RNAcentral's name for it is "partial 16S ribosomal RNA". It matches the Rfam family "Bacterial small subunit ribosomal RNA", at positions 505 to 796 of the family's 1533-position model. The record is from RNAcentral.
GUGUCAGCAGCCGCGGUAAUACAGAGGGUGCGAGCGUUAAUCGGAAUUACUGGGCGUAAAGCGCGCGUAGGCGGUUUUGUAAGUCGGGUGUGAAAUCCCCAGGCUCAACCUGGGAACUGCAUUCGAGACUGCAUGACUGGAGUAUGGGAGAGGACAGCGGAAUUUCCGGUGUAGCGGUGAAAUGCGUAGAUAUCGGAAGGAACAUCAGUGGCGAAGGCGGCUGUCUGGCCCAAUACUGACGCUCAUGUGCGAAAGCGUGGGGAGCAAACAGGAUUAGAAACCCUGGUAGUCC